GGAGAAUUAGCUCAGCUGGGAGAGCAUCUGCCUCAGCUGGGAGAGCAUCUGCCUUACAAGCAGAGGGUCGGCGGUUCGAACCCGUCAUUCUCCACCA
Molecule: transfer RNA, 97 nt
Filed under: Staphylococcus aureus
Lineage: Bacteria; Bacillati; Bacillota; Bacilli; Caryophanales; Staphylococcaceae
Description: tRNA-Val
Rfam family: tRNA
About the family: Transfer RNA (tRNA) molecules are approximately 80 nucleotides in length. Their secondary structure includes four short double-helical elements and three loops (D, anti-codon, and T loops).
Source: RNAcentral